RNAcentral lists this ribosomal RNA (360 nucleotides) under Triticum aestivum (bread wheat). RNAcentral's name for it is "partial small subunit ribosomal RNA". Lineage: Eukaryota; Viridiplantae; Streptophyta; Magnoliopsida; Poales; Poaceae. The record is from RNAcentral.
AUGAAGAAGAGGAUCAAGCAUGUCAAGACCUGGCGCACACUUGCUCAGAAGCUGAAAGAUAUCAAUGGCAGGCUUCAAGCGGCUAAACAGAGGAAGGAGCACUACGCCAUGCCAGAAAUCAGCAGAAAUGGUGCUGUUCAUGCGAACCAAGUUCUCAAAUUCACAAGGGAUGAGGACCUUGUAGGGAUUGCUGAGCACAAGCAACAGUUAAUACAAUGGCUGACAGGUGAUAUGCAGGAUGAAAGAAGCGAGAUUACCACUGUGUGGGGCAUGCCAGGUGUUGGGAAAACAACUUUGGUUGCUCAUGUGUACAAAACUGUAAAAGUAUCCUUCGAUGCCGCUGCAUGGAUAACUGUGUAG